UCAGGCCUAACACAUGCAAGUCGAGCGGCAGCGGAAAAGUAGCUUGCUACUUUUGCCGGCGAGCGGCGGACGGGUGAGUAAUGCCUGGGAAAUUGCCCAGUCGAGGGGGAUAACAGUUGGAAACGACUGCUAAUACCGCAUACGCCCUACGGGGGAAAGCAGGGGACCUUCGGGCCUUGCGCGAUUGGAUAUGCCCAGGUGGGAUUAGCUAGUUGGUGAGGUAAUGGCUCACCAAGGCGACGAUCCCUAGCUGGUCUGAGAGGAUGAUCAGCCACACUGGAACUGAGACACGGUCCAGACUCCUACGGGAGGCAGCAGUGGGGAAUAUUGCACAAUGGGGGAAACCCUGAUGCAUCCAAGGCGCGUGUGUGAAGAAGGCCUUCGGGUUGAAAGCAUAUGGGGCGAGGAGGAAAGGUUGAUGCCUAAUAC
This 429-nucleotide ribosomal RNA is filed under the name uncultured bacterium. RNAcentral's name for it is "bacterial SSU rRNA". It matches the Rfam family "Bacterial small subunit ribosomal RNA", at positions 42 to 465 of the family's 1533-position model. The record is from RNAcentral.